Apis cerana (Asiatic honeybee) is the source of this 487-nucleotide long non-coding RNA. RefSeq lists it as uncharacterized. The record is from RefSeq and is a predicted model, not a curated record. NCBI's taxonomy places the organism in Eukaryota, Metazoa, Arthropoda, Insecta, Hymenoptera, Apidae.
CUUACCUUGACUUUGAGCAUCAAAAUUUUCUGUAGUUUCUGCAGGUGCUGAUGUGGAUGUGGAAAUUUCAUCAUUUUUUUUCAUGAGUGCCUAACACAUAAUGAAAACUGUAUAAAAUUUGUCUUUAAUUAAUUAUAACUGAUAAUAAUUACUUGUGCAAUAAUGGAUGCUACUUUUUCUUUAUCCACUGCUGUAUGAAUUCGCUUGUUUUUCAAAUGAUGUGGAGUAUCUCUACGAUGAAGUCUAUUUGGUCUAUUUGAAUCACCACUACCAUCAUAAUCUGUACCUUCAGCUAUAGAAAAUUCUACAUGUCUUUGUGUUUCUUCAUUUUCAGAUUCAUCAUCCUCCUUAUCAUUUCUAUCCUUUAACUCAGAUAUUGAACCUUCAGUUCUUACGUCCUAAAAAAUAAUUUUUAUGAUAAAAAACAAAGAUAAACAUAAAUAAAUAAAUUAAUUAAUAAAUAAAUAUACAAUCUAUUAUAAAUACA